CAAAGGGUAGUUUAAUUUUAAAAUUCUGGCUUUGGGAGCCAAAAAUAGAGGUUAAAAUCCUUUCUCUUUGA
Molecule: transfer RNA, 71 nt
Filed under: Cestraeus oxyrhyncus (sharp-nosed river mullet)
Lineage: Eukaryota; Metazoa; Chordata; Actinopteri; Mugiliformes; Mugilidae
Description: tRNA-Pro
Rfam family: tRNA
About the family: Transfer RNA (tRNA) molecules are approximately 80 nucleotides in length. Their secondary structure includes four short double-helical elements and three loops (D, anti-codon, and T loops). Further hydrogen bonds mediate the characteristic L-shaped molecular structure. tRNAs have two regions of fundamental functional importance: the anti-codon, which is responsible for specific mRNA codon recognition, and the 3' end, to which the tRNAs corresponding amino acid is attached (by aminoacyl-tRNA synthetases). tRNAs cope with the degeneracy of the genetic code in two manners: having more than one tRNA (with a specific anti-codon) for a particular amino acid; and 'wobble' base-pairing, i.e. permitting non-standard base-pairing at the 3rd anti-codon position.
Source: RNAcentral